GAACCACCUGAUCCCUUCCCGAACUCAGAAGUGAAACCUCUUAGCGCUGAUGGUAGUGUGGAAUUACCCAUGUGAGAGUAAGUCAUCGCCAGCU
This 94-nucleotide ribosomal RNA is filed under the name Acinetobacter baumannii. The record is from RNAcentral. Lineage: Bacteria; Pseudomonadati; Pseudomonadota; Gammaproteobacteria; Moraxellales; Moraxellaceae.